Molecule: long non-coding RNA, 835 nt
Filed under: Equus asinus (donkey)
Lineage: Eukaryota; Metazoa; Chordata; Mammalia; Perissodactyla; Equidae
Description: lncRNA (ENSEASG00005033780.1)
Source: RNAcentral
GCCCUUCCCAUACGACUUCACAGAGCCUUUACUGUGUCAAGGGGAGCUGACUCUCUCCCAGACUGCAGGAGUUUGCAGUGUGUUUGUCUGUAGAGCUGGCUUUAAGAAGAAUCGCUUGUGUUCUGCGAAAUACCCUUGGAGAAGCAUUUUCUAGAUGAAUCUUCUCCUAACUUUGCCUUUGACUUCGAAGAAUCUAAUUUUCAUAUGGAGUUCGGACCCUGUCCCCAGCAGCACUUAGCACGGUCGCUAGGAGGACACACCUAUUCACUGAGCAGCCUCCUCCCGCGGGGCGGAAGGGGCAGCAGGCUCUCCAGGCGAAAGAGUGUUGCAAGAUAACUGACACUUUGAAUCACUGCGAACGCUCUACCUUUAUUGAGGAAUUGGACCAUCUUUGAAGCCACUGCUUUGCUUAUUGUGAUAAUACAUGGUUAAAUAAAUCGAUAGGGCAGGCUUUCCCCACAUUGCCAAGAGGUGGAAACAGGAUCAGAGGCAUUUGUGGACUUUCCUCAGGCACUGAAACUGGGAGGGAGAUAGAUCCAAGUACGUGAGGAGAAUAUCUGGCCAACAGUCAAAUUCAUGGCGGAGGCCAUGACUGUUACUGAGGGAGAGCAAGUUUGGCAAACAUUGCAGCCUGUAAGCCCUGUGGGAGACUCACGAUGCCCAAGAGCAUAGCCAGGGUCCGGAGAAGGCUUGCAUGAAAGAAACCAGUUCUUUGCAUAGCCGUGUCUCACUUUUCUUCGAGCAGCACCUGAUGAUUAUCCCCGGGGCUUGGAUUUUACGUCAAAUUCUCCUUAUGCUGAAGUCAAGUCUGUUCAUUCAUAGCAUCCUCCAUCAC